Molecule: ribosomal RNA, 356 nt
Filed under: uncultured bacterium
Lineage: Bacteria
Description: bacterial SSU rRNA
Rfam family: Bacterial small subunit ribosomal RNA
Source: RNAcentral
GAUAAACGCUGGCGGCGUGCCUAACACAUGCAAGUCGAACGAUCCCGCAAGGGAGAGUGGCGGAAGGGUGAGUAACACGUGGGAAUCUACCUCCUCGCAGGGAACAACCUCUCGAAAGAGAGGCUAAUACCCAAAAGGGUCAGAAAUGAUCAGAGUCGAAAGGCGUGAGGAGAGGAGCCCGCGGCCCAUCAGCUAGUUGGUGAGGUAAUGGCUUACCAAGGCUACGACGGGUAGGGGAUCUGAGAGGAUGUCCCCCACACUGGAACUGAAACACGGUCCAGACGCCUACGGGUGGCAGCAGUGAGGAAUAUUGGACAAUGGGCGAAAGCCCGAUCCAGCAACGCCGCGUGGAGGAU